UACGGAAGGCAGCAGUGGGGAAUAUUGCACAAUGGGCGAAAGCCUGAUGCAGCUAUGCCGCGUGUAUGAAGAAGGCCUUAGGGUUGUAAAGUACUUUCAUCGGGGAGGAAAAACAAAACUAAUAAUUUUAUUUCUUGACGUUACCCGAAAAAGAAGCACCGGCUAACUCCGUGCCAGCAGCCGCGGUAAUACGGAGGGUGCUAGCGUUAAUCAGAAUUACUGGGCGUAAAGAGCACGUAGGUGGUUUUUUUAAGUCAGAUGUGAAAUCCCCUGGGCUUAACCUAGGAACUGCAUUUUGAAACUGAAAUACUAGAGUAUCGUAGAGGGAGGUAGAAUUCUAGGUGUAGCGGUGAAAUGCGUAGAUAUCUGGAGGAUACCUGUGGCGAAAGCGGCCUCCUAAACGAAUACUGACACUGAGGUGCGAAAGCGUGGGGAGCAAACAGGGAUUAGAUAC
RNAcentral lists this ribosomal RNA (454 nucleotides) under uncultured bacterium. RNAcentral describes it as "bacterial SSU rRNA". It matches the Rfam family "Bacterial small subunit ribosomal RNA", at positions 340 to 785 of the family's 1533-position model. The record is from RNAcentral.